Molecule: ribosomal RNA, 829 nt
Filed under: bacterium MD23
Lineage: Bacteria
Description: bacterial SSU rRNA
Rfam family: Bacterial small subunit ribosomal RNA
Source: RNAcentral
AGCGCGUGGCUCCAGCUUGAGGGGGGAUUAGUGGCGACGGGUGAGUAACACGUGAGUAACCUGCCCUUGACUCUGGGAUAAGCCUGGGAAACUGGGUCUAAUACUGGAUACGACCUUCCAUCGCAUGGUGGUUGGUGGAAAGCUUUUGUGGUUUUGGAUGGACUCGCGGCCUAUCAGCUUGUUGGUGGGGUAAUGGCCUACCAAGGCGACGACGGGUAGCCGGCCUGAGAGGGUGGACGGCCACACUGGGACUGAGACACGGCCCAGACUCCUACGGGAGGCAGCAGUGGGGAAUAUUGCACAAUGGGCGCAAGCCUGAUGCAGCGACGCCGCGUGAGGGAUGAAGGCCUUCGGGUUGUAAACCUCUUUCAGUAGGGAAGAAGCGAAAGUGACGGUACCUGCCGAAGAAGCGCCGGCUAACUACGUGCCAGCUGCCGCGGUAAUACGUAGGGCGCACGCGUUAUCCGGAAUUAUUGGGCGUAAAGAGCUCGUAGGCGGUUUGUCGCGUCUGCCGUGAAAGUCCGAGGCUUAACUCCGGAUCUGCGGUGGGUACGGGCAGACUUGAGUGAUGUAGGGGAGACUGAAAUUCCUGGCGUAGCGGUGAAAUGCGCAGAUUUCAGGCGGAACACCGAUGGCGAAGCCGGUCUCUGGGCUUUAACUGACGCUGAGGAGCGAAAGCAUGGGAGCGAACAGGAUUAGAUACCCUGAGAGUCCAUGCCGUACACGUUGGCACUAGGUGUGGGGUAAUUCCACGUUUUCCGCGCCGUAGCUACGCAUUAGGUGCCUGCCUGCGAGUACGGCUGCAUGCUUAAACUGAAGAAUUUUGAGG